ACUCCUACGGGAGGCAGCAGUGGGGAAUAUUGGACAAUGGGGGAAACCCGUAGCAUCCAGCCAUGCCGCGUGUGUGAAGAAGGCCUUCGGGUUGUAAAGCACUUUCAGUGGGGAGGAAAGGUUGAUGGUUAAUACCUAUCAGCUGUGACGUUACCCACAGAAGAAGCACCGGCUAACUCCGUGCCAGCAGCCGCGGUAAUACGGAGGGUGCAAGCGUUAAUCGGAAUUACUGGGCGUAAAGCGUGCGCAGGCGGUCUGUUAAGCGAGAUGUGAAAG
Molecule: ribosomal RNA, 276 nt
Filed under: uncultured bacterium
Lineage: Bacteria
Description: partial 16S ribosomal RNA
Rfam family: Bacterial small subunit ribosomal RNA
Source: RNAcentral